Molecule: unclassified non-coding RNA, 2152 nt
Filed under: Hevea brasiliensis (rubber tree)
Lineage: Eukaryota; Viridiplantae; Streptophyta; Magnoliopsida; Malpighiales; Euphorbiaceae
Source: RNAcentral
ACAGAACCUAAAUAUGGGCGGGCAACAGGCCAACCGCUAGAAAACGAAAGAACCACAGCUGCCGUUGAAUCAGCGAAAAAACCAAUAGUAUCUCCUUCGCACGAUCUGGUUCACACAAACACGUCGAAGGUAGAGGAGGCCGCGAGAUACUGGUCUUAUUCACGCACUCAAAGGGACUCCUUCUGACCUCACUUCCUCUCCUUCCUUUUCUGGCUUUUCUUCUUUGCUUUUGAGCCCAUGUCGUUCAAUCUCUUCUGCUACUCUGCGAUCCCCCUUCUCUAAAUCAAUCUCUAAAUGGCUGACGUUUUACGAAUACCAUCUUUUUACUCACCUCGUUUCUCUUCUUCUUUGCUCACCUCCUUCGCCUCUACCUUGAAUUCUCUCCAACCUCCUCUCCAACCGCCUCUCCCACCCAACAAUUCAGAUAAGAGGAUUUACCCUUUAGUAUAUUCUUCUGCUGGUGGUGUUUCUCCCUUUGAUCCCACGCUCAGGAAGCAAUUGCUUUCUUUUAAGGUGCAUGCAACCAUUGCUGAAACUGACCAGCCAAAAUGGUGGGAAAAGAAUGUAGGACCAAACAUGAUUGACAUUCAUUCUACACAAGAAUUUUUGGGUGCCUUAAGUCAAGCAGGAGACAGAUUAGUUAUUGUUGAAUUUUAUGGAACUUGGUGUGCUUCUUGCAGGGCAUUAUUUCCCAAGGUAAUUAUGCUUUGUUACUUGACAUUUUAUUCUUUAUUUUUUCUACUUUUUCAUUUUUUUAUUGUAUUUCAUGCAUUAACUUUGACCCAAAAAAAAAAAUAAUAAAAAAGAGCUUUGCUUUAUGUUUUUAAUAAAGUCUUCUGUGGUAUUUCUUCCAAAACCCCACUCCUAGGGAGGGAAAAAGCACCUGAGUUCACCUUAAUUAGCCCCUCGUGGGAUCUAGUUAGUCAUUGCCACAUGGUGUCGUAUUAUGUAACAAGGACAUCACAGUAAUAGAAGUCACUGACACUUCUAUCUCUGUGCUGACCAGCUUUUAGAGCUCAUUUUGUUUUGAGAAUGCCUUGCUGCAGGCCAACAAUGUUAUUAGCCUGCUUGUGAUUUAGGUUAUUAUAAACUUAAAGUAUACAAUCCUGCUAGUGCUUCAUAUCUAGAAUUAUACAGAAUCCAGUCAGCAUGAAAGACACCACUUCUCAUUCCUCUUUAAAUAUGCAAUGAUGUACAGUUAUGUGAAUUGCUGAGUUUUUGCUGAAAUUUUGUAUAACAUUAUCCACAUUAAAUUACUUGAUGAGAGAUGAAUCCACAACUUAAUCACAGACUACUCCAGGGUGGAUAAAACAGAGAUUAUGAGGUUUUGUUAAUGGUGAUUCUGUAUGCGAAUUCAUCCCUUGUGAGUAAGUACCUUAAAGUAAAUUGGAAUUUUUGUUCUAUCCACAUGGAUGUACACUAUCUAAGGAGCAGUUGCAGGAUAUAUUUGAAAAUUCUAAAUGUGAUGAUGAUAGCCGCUGCAUUGUCCCUUUUUUUUUUUCUGUUUAUUCUUCUUUGACAACCUUUGAUUAGAAAUGAUAUUAUAAAGCACUGGAUCACCAAUUCUUUAGACCUUUGUUUAUUUCCAUUGCUGAUUUUUUUUUUAUUGAAAUUGAUUGGGUGGUUUUGAAUGGAUUAGAAAGGCAUAUUUGGUGUUCUUUCUAUUAUAUGAUUAUAGCAUGCAAAUAAGCUCAGAGAGUUAAUGUUAAUGUGAAACAGAAUGAGUGUGGUUCAGGAUAUCAUGGACUGAUCUUGUUUAUACAUUUUAUUGUUCAUAUUGGCAUGAUAUUAAUGCAUGAUGUUGUAAUGGACAUCACCCCACUCCUGGCUGGGCCCUUUUUUGGUGGUGGGUGGGUGUUUCCAGAAACCUGAAAAGGAAGUGCUAUUUGUCAAGAGAAAAGAGAAAUGUAAGAAAACAGUUAAAUGUUGUACUGCUUGAAAGUUUUCCUAGUGUCUCUUGCUGAUUUUUUCUUGUGAUGGGUUGGACAGCUCUGCAGGACAGCUGAAGAACAUCCUGAUAUUUUAUUCCUCAAAGUGAAUUUUGAUGAAAACAAGCCCAUGUGCAAAAGUUUGAAUGUUAAAGUGCUUCCUUACUUCCACCUCUAUCGUGGUGCUCUUGGACAAUUGGAAUCCUUUUCAUGUUCGCUCGCUA